AACGAACGCUGGCGGCAUGCCUAACACAUGCAAGUCGAACGAGACCUUCGGGUCUAGUGGCGCACGGGUGCGUAACGCGGGGGAACCUGCCCUUAGGUUCGGAAUAACUCCCCGAAAGGGAUGCUAAUACCGGAUAAUGUCUUCGGACCAACGAUUUAUCGCCUUUGGAUGGGCCCGCGUUGGAUUAGCUAGUUGGUAGGGUAAAAGCCUACCAAGGCGACGAUCCAUAGCUGGUCUGAGAGGAUGAUCAGCCACACUGGGAAUGAGACACGGCCCAGAAUCCUACGGGAGGGAGCAGUGGGGAAUAUUGGACACUGGGCGAAAGCCUAAUCCAGCCAUGCCGCGUGAGUGAUGAAGGCCUUAGGGUUGUAAAGCUGUUUUACCCGGGAUGAUAAUGACAGUACCGGGAGAAUAAGCUCCGGCUAACUACGUG
Molecule: ribosomal RNA, 433 nt
Filed under: uncultured bacterium
Lineage: Bacteria
Description: partial 16S ribosomal RNA
Rfam family: Bacterial small subunit ribosomal RNA
Source: RNAcentral